Molecule: ribosomal RNA, 503 nt
Filed under: uncultured bacterium
Lineage: Bacteria
Description: partial 16S ribosomal RNA
Rfam family: Bacterial small subunit ribosomal RNA
Source: RNAcentral
GAUGAACGCUAGCGGCAGGCUUAACACAUGCAAGUCGAGCGGGGUGAUGGCGCUUGCACUAUCACUUAGCGGCGGACGGGUGAGUAAUGCUUAGGAAUCUGCCUAUUAGUGGGGGACAACAUCUCGAAAGGGAUGCUAAUACCGCAUACGUCCUACGGGAGAAAGCAGGGGAUCACUUGUGACCUUGCGCUAAUAGAUGAGCCUAAGUCGGAUUAGCUAGUUGGUGGGGUAAAGGCCUACCAAGGCGACGAUCUGUAGCGGGUCUGAGAGGAUGAUCCGCAACACUGGGACUGAGACACGGCCCAGACUCCUACGGGAGGCAGCAGUGGGGAAUAUUGGACAAUGGGGGGAACCCUGAUCCAGCCAUGCCGCGUGUGUGAAGAAGGCCUUAUGGUUGUAAAGCACUUUAAGCGAGGAGGAGGCUCUUUUGGUUAAUACCCAAGAUGAGUGGACGUUACUCGCAGAAUAAGCACCGGCUAACUCUGUGCCAGCAGCCGCCGUAA